This is a long non-coding RNA of Daucus carota subsp. sativus, 5428 nucleotides long. RefSeq lists it as uncharacterized. Lineage: Eukaryota; Viridiplantae; Streptophyta; Magnoliopsida; Apiales; Apiaceae. The transcript is spliced from 5 exons. The record is from RefSeq and is a predicted model, not a curated record.
ACCCGGAUUUUAAAAAUAUUUUAUUAAUAUUAUAAAUGAUUUUCUUAAAAAGAAAGGAAUAAGAUUUAAUAUUUUAUCCCAGUUUAAUGAAUUUUCAAGGUUUUAUACUUAAACCCGGGUUAUUGUGUUAUUAAUAAAUAAUUGUAUUUUUAAAACUGAUUUUCAUAUAUUGUUUCGAAAAUUCUAGAUGAGUAUUAUGGGAAUAUAUGUGUUAUGUGAUUAAGUGGUAUUGGUGAAUUUGUUGGUUAAUUAAUUAUGGUUAAUUAUGAGUAUUAUAUGAUUAAUAUAUGAAUUUUUGUGAAUUUUAUAUUAUAUGGUUUAUUGCGUUAACUGCUCAGAUGUGUUCGUAUUUGAGAUAUUUCAAUUUCUAUAGGCUCAGGAGAAAAUAUAGUUUAUUUGGAUAUUUUCAUAUCGAUUUAUGGAAUGUUAGAUGAUUUUAUAAUUGAUUUACGGAUUUAAUUGCGUAUAUUUAUAUUUAAUUAUUGAUUAUUUGAUUUCCGUAAAACCGUCCACUCGUAACGGUGUAGCAAAUUUUCUUCCCGGAAGUUUCGAGAAAACUCACCUUUAGCCUAAUUUGAAUAUUCCGGACAUUUUUCGUGUUUUGACUUUUUCGAUCCGGAGUACGGUUUUCCCCGUAGUCGGUCCGGCGGAGUUUUUCGGGUACUAAAAUUAUCGAUAAUUAUCCAGUUUGUCUCGAUAAACGUGAAACGAGAUAUUUUCGUCAUCCUUAUCAUGUAAUAAUUGCAGUGGGACCCGCAGACCAAUAAUUGAGUUAAAAAGCCCCGUUUUGAUGAUUAUCUUGAAAACCAGUACCGAUUGGACCCCGCUUUAUUAAUAUAAAGCUAGUAAAUACGUAUUUUCAUGUCAUAUACGAUCCAAAGGGGUACCAAUUAGUUGUAAAUAUAAAUAUACCUUUCUAGAGCUUAUUUUCACCCGUAAAAAUCAUUUCACCAGUUUCUCUGCACGAAUACCGAGAGAAACCGAGCUGCGUUCUUCGUGUUCUUCAUAAUCAAACGUGGAUUUGAAGGCGUUAUUGGAGUCAGAAUCAAGCGUGCGAAUAGUCAAAUCGAAGAUAUCGAAGAGUAGAAUCUAUAUCUGCAAUCAAAAACAACAUGAGAUUCACAGGAUUUGGACGAGACAAGGAUGACCGAAGACGUUCAGAAGGACAAGUGGUGUUCCAAAGCGAAUAAAGAAUGAAUCGAGUAAGCGAAGCAAUGUGGCGAAUAGAGUAUAGCUAGAGAUGGUCUAGAGAUUACAAGGUGCAUAGAUUGUGAAAGUGGAAAGAUGAGAUUGAGAUGUGAGACUGGAGUCAGAUUUAAGAAAGGCUGAAAGAUAAGAUGAUUGAUUGAGAUUGUGGAUAAGACUAAUGCUAGACGAGGAGACAGAGUUGAGGAUCAAGUGGUCGAGGAGUGUUCAGGAAAGUUGAUGAGGUCGGUGCUAGCUCGAGUUGUGCGAUCUAGAUUCAGAUGUAAGUCAUAGCUGGAAGAGUUGACAGUGAUUCUUCAUAUCGAAGAUGAUCUGACUUGGUAAGAAAUGUUGUGUAGUAUUAGUGGUGGAUUCUAAUUUCAAUACUGUAACCUGGAAGCGAUCCUGUUGUUUUUGGGGGUUAAAUGUUCUCUUUUGAAUCAUUUAUUAAAGUUUAAAUAUUCUCUGGAAAUUCUUUUAUGAUGGUUUCAAGUUUAAACUUUCAGGUCUUGAAAUCAUUUGAUUUAUGUUCUCAUUCAAAGUUUUUAUUAAAUGUUUUCAAGUUUUAAAUUCUUUUGGAUUUUCAUUAUCUUUAAAAGAAAAAAAAAUAUACAGGGUUUCAAAAGUGUUUUAAAAGGGUUUUGUGUGGUGACGUCAGAAUCCAGGCCCCCGGAUUCUCGGGCCGUCACAGUUGGUAUCAGAGCAACAGGUUAUAAGUAUUUGAAAUUAGAAUAUAGAUCAUAGUUAUAGAUUUUCUAGAGAAGAAUGUUGUGUAACCUCACAUAGAGGUAUGGUUAGACUAUUUGGGAAUAGUCUAGUGAUGUGAGUGAAGCAUAGAAUCUAGUUAGACGACUAAGUUGAGUGCAUAAGUUUAGAGAGAUUUUGAUUCCUAAGUUUAGACAUUUCAUUUCUAGCGAUCGAGUAACCGAGAAUGGUACUAUUGUGAGAAAGGUCAGUAUUAGACCUAUAUAGAAGAGUUUGAUAAUGAAUGAUUGAGUUGAAAAUGGUGAAAAUGCAGUGUUCAGAUUAUUCUGACUAUACUGCAUAGUUGAAAAUGGUCUAUUGUAUUGAUUUGAGAAUGAUAAAAAUGCAUGGUUCAUAGUAUGUUGACCAUGUCAGAUAUUUGGAAGAUGUAUAUGGUUUUGAGUGAAGAUAUGAAAGGUGAAUGUAGAAUAUGAGUUGUAUUGGAUUAGAAGGAGAGAUUGGUAUAUAGAGGUUGAUAGGUGAGAAGGGAAUGAUAGAGAAUAUGUGGAAUUGAGUCCAGUUAUUAGAAAUGAUGUCUACGAGUAAGUUAGAACGUUAGUCCUCGACGACAACGCUUCGAGCUAAUCGGGAUUUCAAACGAUAUCAAGGUGGGCCCAUAACCCACAGGUUGACGAUCCAAACGAUUGAAGAUAUGUUACAUGUCAUGCUAUGGACUUCAAAGGCAAUUGGGAUGAAAUAAUGUAAACUACUUGGGCCAGACUUAUUACGAACAAUGACAUCUUACGACGCUAUUACGAUUGAACGUCGAUCAAUUAUCGAGAAGGCUGAAAAGGAGAUAUACAACGAACGAUGAUUUUUGAAGUAGAGCAGUAAUUUGAGAAGACCUUGGCAGUACCUCUCUUCAACUAAAGAUUCUUUUGAUUAUAUGUUUUUCAUCAGUGAGUUAUUAUGAUAUCAUUUCGAUAAACGAGAUUUUCAAUUUCUCAAAUUCUAAGAUGACAUUGAUAUUGAUUAUUGGUAUGAGUUGGAAAGCAAAGAUGUGUGAUAAAGGUUUGUUGUGAAGAGAUAGUGAUGUUCCUUGAUAUUGUUUGACAUUUCUUGACAUUCCUUGAUACCCUUUCAUCUUCCCUGGUAUCCCUUGAUGUUCUUUGAUAUCUUUGAUAUUCCUUGACAUUCUUUGAUAUUCCUUGACAUUUAUUCAAUUUGAUUGGGAUGAACAACCCUAUUUAUAGGGGACACAAGGUAUACCUGUCUGUGUGAUAGGAGUUGGAUGGGACGCCAUCACUUGUGUGUGUUGUGAUUACAAGAAGGUUAACAACCUUUAGUAGUGUCUAAUAUGGACACGCAACAUUAAGUUCAUUUGAUCGUAUUGAUCUCCCAGUCACUCUUGUAUUCCAAUGUCACCUAUUUUGAAAACAUCUUGUUACUCUGAAAUUUCCAAAGAUUGAUUCUUGGGAAAUGAAUUCUGCAAUUGUGUAAGUUGAUUCUCCAAUUUCUUUAAAGCUAAAGGUAUGCCAAGGCCGAUCAAAGGUGAAUGAUGAUACGUUAUUACGAAGUGUAUAGUGGAAUCUUCAAAGUGAUACGUUUGAGUUCUCUUUGCGGAUUCCGAGGGCGGAAUCCUUAUAAGGGGGGUAGAAUGUAAUAUCCCAUACUAUUAAAUUCAGAUUUGAUUAUUAUACAUCUAUUUGUCUAGAUAUUAUUGUUGUCUCUAGUUGAAUAUUGAUGUGAUUAUGUGAAUAGUGUGUAUGUGAUUAUACUUGUUAUGUGGAUUAAUAUGGAUUUUACAGAUUAUGCGUCCUCCUUCUUUUUCUGAUUCCGAGGACGGAAUCCCUAUAAGGAGGGUAGAUUGUAAUAACCCGGAUUUUAAAAAUAUUUUAUUAAUAUUAUAAAUGAUUUUCUUAAAAAGAAAGGAAUAAGAUUUAAUAUUUUAUCCCAGUUUAAUGAAUUUUCAAGGUUUUAUACUUAAACCCGGGUUAUUGUGUUAUUAAUAAAUAAUUGUAUUUUUAAAACUGAUUUUCAUAUAUUGUUUCGAAAAUUCUAGAUGAGUAUUAUGGGAAUAUAUGUGUUAUGUGAUUAAGUGGUAUUGGUGAAUUUGUUGGUUAAUUAAUUAUGGUUAAUUAUGAGUAUUAUAUGAUUAAUAUAUGAAUUUUUGUGAAUUUUAUAUUAUAUGGUUUAUUGCGUUAACUGCUCAGAUGUGUUCGUAUUUGAGAUAUUUCAAUUUCUAUAGGCUCAGGAGAAAAUAUAGUUUAUUUGGAUAUUUUCAUAUCGAUUUAUGGAAUGUUAGAUGAUUUUAUAAUUGAUUUACGGAUUUAAUUGCGUAUAUUUAUAUUUAAUUAUUGAUUAUUUGAUUUCCGUAAAACCGUCCACUCGUAACGGUGUAGCAAAUUUUCUUUCCGGAAGUUUCGAGAAAACUCACCUUUAGCCUAAUUUGAAUAUUCCGGACAUUUUUCGUGUUUUGACUUUUUCGAUCCGGAGUACGGUUUUCCCCGUAGUCGGUCCGGCGGAGUUUUUCGGGUACUAAAAUUAUCGAUAAUUAUCCAGUUUGUCUCGAUAAACGUGAAACGAGAUAUUUUCGUCAUCCUUAUCAUGUAAUAAUUGCAGUGGGACCCGCAGACCAAUAAUUGAGUUAAAAAGCCCCGUUUUGAUGAUUAUCUUGAAAACCAGUACCGAUUGGACCCCGCUUUAUUAAUAUAAAGCUAGUAAAUACGUAUUUUCAUGUCAUAUACGAUCCAAAGGGGUACCAAUUAGUUGUAAAUAUAAAUAUACCUUUCUAGAGCUUAUUUUCACCCGUAAAAAUCAUUUCACCAGUUUCUCUGCACGAAUACCGAGAGAAACCGAGCUGCGUUCUUCGUGUUCUUCAUAAUCAAACGUGGAUUUGAAGGCGUUAUUGGAGUCAGAAUCAAGCGUGCGAAUAGUCAAAUCGAAGAUAUCGAAGAGUAGAAUCUAUAUCUGCAAUCAAAAACAACAUGAGAUUCACAGGAUUUGGACGAGACAAGGAUGACCGAAGACGUUCAGAAGGACAAGUGGUGUUCCAAAGCGAAUAAAGAAUGAAUCGAGUAAGCGAAGCAAUGUGGCGAAUAGAGUAUAGCUAGAGAUGGUCUAGAGAUUACAAGGUGCAUAGAUUGUGAAAGUGGAAAGAUGAGAUUGAGAUGUGAGACUGGAGUCAGAUUUAAGAAAGGCUGAAAGAUAAGAUGAUUGAUUGAGAUUGUGGAUAAGACUAAUGCUAGACGAGGAGACAGAGUUGAGGAUCAAGUGGUCGAGGAGUGUUCAGGAAAGUUGAUGAGGUCGGUGCUAGCUCGAGUUGUGCGAUCUAGAUUCAGAUGUAAGUCAUAGCUGGAAGAGUUGACAGUGAUUCUUCAUAUCGAAGAUGAUCUGACUUGGUAAGAAAUGUUGUGUAGUAUUAGUGGUGGAUUCUAAUUUCAAUACUGUAACCUGGAAGCGAUCCUGUUGUUUUUGGGGGUUAAAUGUUCUCUUUUGAAUCAUUUAUUAAAGUUUAAAUAUUCUCUGGAAAUUCUUUUAUGAUGGUUUCAAGUUUAAA